This 520-nucleotide ribosomal RNA is filed under the name uncultured Scutellospora. RNAcentral describes it as "SSU rRNA". It matches the Rfam family "Eukaryotic small subunit ribosomal RNA", at positions 569 to 1095 of the family's 1831-position model. Lineage: Eukaryota; Fungi; Glomeromycota; Glomeromycetes; Diversisporales; Gigasporaceae. The record is from RNAcentral.
AGCAGCCGCGGUAAUUCCAGCUCCAAUAGCGUAUAUUAAAGUUGUUGCAGUUAAAAAGCUCGUAGUUGAAUUUCGGGGUUCUACCGUUGGUCGGGCUUUGUCUGUACUGGCGUGUAGAAUUUCUACCUUCUGGGGAACCAUCAUGUUAUUAAUUUAGCGUGGUGGGAAACCAGGACCUUUACCUUGAAAAAAUUAGAGUGUUCAAAGCAGGCUUAUGUCUGAAUACAUUAGCAUGGAAUAAUAGAAUAGGACGGUGGUCCUGUUUUGUUGGUUUCUGAAUCACCGUAAUGAUUAAUAGGGAUAGUUGGGGGCAUUAGUAUUCAAUUGUCAGAGGUGAAAUUCUUGGAUUUAUUGAAGACUAACUUCUGCGAAAGCAUUUGCCAAGGAUGUUUUCAUUAAUCAAGAACGAAAGUUAGGGGAUCGAAGACGAUCAGAUACCGUCGUAGUCUUAACCAUAAACUAUGCCGACUAGGGAUCGGACGAUGUUAAUUUUUAAUGACUCAUUCGGCGCCUUACGGGA